ACCUAUCUAAUAUAAUAAGUAUGUUUGACUUCCAAUCAAGAUGUUUGUAUUAACAAGAUAAGUA
RNAcentral lists this transfer RNA (64 nucleotides) under Cryptotermes secundus. RNAcentral describes it as "tRNA-Gly". Lineage: Eukaryota; Metazoa; Arthropoda; Insecta; Blattodea; Kalotermitidae. The record is from RNAcentral.